GACGAACGCUGGCGGCGUGCUUAACACAUGCAAGUCGAACGGAAAGGCCCUGCUUUUGUGGGGUGCUCGAGUGGCGAACGGGUGAGUAACACGUGAGUAACCUGCCCUUGACUUUGGGAUAACUUCAGGAAACUGGGGCUAAUACCGGAUAGGAGCUCCUGCUGCAUGGUGGGGGUUGGAAAGUUUCGGCGGUUGGGGAUGGACUCGCGGCUUAUCAGCUUGUUGGUGGGGUAGUGGCUUACCAAGGCUUUGACGGGUAGCCGGCCUGAGAGGGUGACCGGGCACAAUGGGACUGAGAUACGGCCCCGACCCCUACGGGGGGCAGCAGGGGGGAAUAUUGCACAAUGGGCGGAAGCCCGAUGCAACAACGCCGCGGGGGGGAAGAAGGCCUUUGGGUUGUAAACCGCUUUCGCCUGUGACGAAGCGUGAGUGACGGUAAUGGGUAAAGAAGCACCGGCUAACUACGUG
This 468-nucleotide ribosomal RNA is filed under the name uncultured bacterium. RNAcentral's name for it is "partial 16S ribosomal RNA". It matches the Rfam family "Bacterial small subunit ribosomal RNA", at positions 28 to 507 of the family's 1533-position model. The record is from RNAcentral.